RNAcentral lists this small RNA (640 nucleotides) under Pongo abelii (Sumatran orangutan). RNAcentral's name for it is "processed transcript". The record is from RNAcentral. Lineage: Eukaryota; Metazoa; Chordata; Mammalia; Primates; Hominidae.
CGCAGCGAGCUGGGAGCAGCGGUCGGCUGGGCUGUUGCGCUGCGCCUCCUCCAACUGCUGGGAAACUCCGCCCUUCAAUACUGGAGCAUCUCUUUCCUGGGCAGUUGACACUUACUUUGACAAAGGCAAAUUUGGAAGCAAUUACUUGAGGACAGUUCAUAUAGCAUCUGGACAGUCAACACGGGCACCAUGAAGCACUUCCUGAGUCCAUUUCCACAGAUGUUGGACGAUUUUGGCAAUCUUUUCAUUUGAACCAAAGAGAAGGUUAUGUAAGCAAAGCCUGAAUGAAUCAGGUGUUAAUUCCUGAGCUCAGCAAAUGUAUUAUGGAGAAUGAGGAGCUGACUUUCACUGGGAAGAAUUCAGCAUUAUUUAAAAGCCCACGCAGUGAUUAAUCUGUCAACUUCUGAGAUGCUCUAGAAUGAAAUGCUCAAUGCACAGUCCCAGAAGAAAUUAGGUUAACCUUAGAGAAACCAGAUUGUGGGAAAAAAUGGAUUUUGAUCCACAUUUAAGAUACAUGAUACCCAAUUGCUACCAUCAGAUAUAUUAAUGGUAUAAAUAUUCAGAGCAAAAAGGAAUAGAGAAAAUAUUCAAUGUAUGUCAAAAAUUACAUGAAAUAUAAGGAAUAAAUGCCAUUCGAUUA